GCGAAUUCCAUUCGAGCCUCUACUGUAAAUAAAUUUUUUUCGAACUUUCAUUACAGGCAGACUUCAGCCGAGCUCCUACAGUGGACGGAUCCCAGACGAGCUUUUACAACGGGAUAGGAUCCACUGGCCAGGUCGCUACUCCGAGCUCCCACGACAACCGAUCUUCGAUCGAGCUUCUACAAUAAGCGAUCUCCUUUCAGCCUUCUACAAGAAUCAGACUCCGUCCGAACUUCCAUAGUGGAUGGAUAUCGG
RNAcentral lists this long non-coding RNA (252 nucleotides) under Elaeis guineensis (African oil palm). RNAcentral describes it as "long non-coding RNA (EGUI_LNC030571)". The record is from RNAcentral. Lineage: Eukaryota; Viridiplantae; Streptophyta; Magnoliopsida; Arecales; Arecaceae.